GAUGGGGAUGAUGAUGAGGAUGGUGAGGAUGAAGAGGAAGAAGAAGAGGACGAGGAAGAGGAAGAGGAUCAACCACCAGCUAAGAAGAGGAAAUGAAGUAGUAGAUGUUAAUUCUAUGCCUUUUUCUUGGUUGGGAGUAUGUACAAUUAUGAGGGAGGUUUAGCUUGUUUGUCUUCAUGAAGUAGGAAAUCGGCAGCCCUGUUUAGAUUGAACUCCUUAUCAUAAUGUGACCGUAUGUUUUAUGUUCCCUUUUAUGGAUCUUUAUCAGUUGUACUAUUUUUACGUGAUUUUUGCAUUUAAAUAAGAAAGAUGGCUUCUUUAUCAGCUAACA
Molecule: long non-coding RNA, 331 nt
Filed under: Olea europaea subsp. europaea
Lineage: Eukaryota; Viridiplantae; Streptophyta; Magnoliopsida; Lamiales; Oleaceae
Source: RNAcentral